This is a long non-coding RNA of Halichondria panicea, 1229 nucleotides long. RefSeq lists it as uncharacterized. The record is from RefSeq and is a predicted model, not a curated record. The transcript is spliced from 3 exons. Lineage: Eukaryota; Metazoa; Porifera; Demospongiae; Suberitida; Halichondriidae.
UGAAAUCCAUGAAAAACAAUUGGACGGUCAACAAGUACUCUGCAUUAACACAGUGCCAAUGAAAAGGGACCUUAACGUAGAAUCAGAUAGAGCCGGCAAAGGUCCACCAGGGUACCAAGUCUGUUUUUGUUGGCAUAGGGGGUGGGGUGUAGACACUCAGGCUUCAGGUUUCAGGAAAACCAGGAACACAGUGAUUUUCUCUUACUGUCCAAACAGAGUUAAAAAAAUGACCAAGUUUUUUAUCCUGAGAACCUUUAAGGAAUAUAUGUUCCUUUAUAAAGAUGAAUGACUGUGAUUGAUAUAGCUUCACUUGAUUAAUUACAGACGAAGAGGAGCUGCUGAAACAAGAAAAGCGAAGCGUGCUGCCAAGCAGCCGGUUGAGCCUAGGGACAAUAGCAAAGAAGUAUACCUCUGUCGUGUAUGUGGCAAGCAAUGGACGACCGCUAUUCAGGAUUGGAUAGGCUGCGACAAUUGUAACAAAUGGGUUUCAUUCGACAGAGCCAGAUAGCGUUGACUGUGUGUGUAGGUGUGUAGUAUAGAAGUGUAGUAUAGAAGUGCACAUUGUGAACCAUUCUUUUCAUUAAUACUUUUUAUUAAUAUUGUUGAAUCCCCUGGUGUGGAGGGAGAGUCGUUUGUAGUGCUAUGGGGACAUGCAUUUGUACAAAGAGGUGUUCCCUGGGGGAGUGUCUUUGUAACCCCGUGAGGGGGGUGGGGAUUUGGUGCAUUACUAUAACAAAGUUGAGCUGCAGCAUAAGAAUUUCGAAAAUAGAACUCCACAUGCCCAGUCUGGUUUAGUCAUAGAUAGUGUAGUAAGAGGGAUUGGAAACGGGAUCACGUGGGCUUAUCAAUGCAAUGUAAUGAACUUGGGGCCUUGUGGACAAUCCAGGCUGCGCAUAACACAGCUAUAAGCGCUAAAUCACGCCCGUCCAGAGAUACAAAGACAAGGUUUUCUCCUGUUCUAGGACAAAGGGUUGGAGAAUGAAUACCUGGACGACUGGGACACUGGGAAAAAUCGGUUUCUAGCCGUAAGGAGCUAAGUGCACUGGCUGCAACAAGAUGCUGUAGUGAUGCCACAAGGACUGAAGUUCACAGUCUGAGUCAGUCAAAUCAUUCAUUGACAUGGUAGGAGACCUGUUCAUCCUCCCUGAUGCAAGUGCCUUUCUGAGUGAGCAAAUCGGCUAGAACCCUCUCGAAGUGUUUAACUACAUUUCUAUUUGAUGCACAUAAGC